ACUCACUGUGUCAUCAUGAUCACACAUGACCACGAUCACAUCCGUCUGCCUCGACUUGACACCAACCAGUUGGUUUCCUCUGUGCGCAUGCGUUUUCUGCAAGUGAGAAGAUUUUUCUGCGCCCAUGUGAAACCGAAGCCUCAUUAAGCACCGAGCACGUUAAUGAUUCGAUCAGGCAUCUGGACUUUCCUGCGUGUUGCAGCCUCCACAGGCGCUCAGGCGGAAGGCCUUGGAGCGGUGCGUCCACCAGAGGGCAGUGCUGCUCCACGAAAACACGCUGCGUCCUGCGGCUGGAGAACAUGCGAGGACGACGGUGACCUGCUCAGCCCGUGAACGCAAACAGAAUGUGCUGCAGGCUCCGCCAGCGGUUUACGCAUCUCACUUCUGUAUAUCACUAAACAGACUUGUUUAAUAGCAGCUGUUAAAAUAAUUGAAAACUGCGCAACGCAAGGCGCUUUUGAAAAAAAGUUUGUCACAUUACUGAGUUGACUGUUUAUGCGGUGUCUGCUACUGUAUGUGAGUCAUGCUUCUUCUCACAGCAGAUGUGUCAAAUUAAAUAACAAAGUUUCGUG
Long non-coding RNA from Betta splendens (Siamese fighting fish), 572 nucleotides. RefSeq lists it as uncharacterized. The transcript has 2 exons. The record is from RefSeq and is a predicted model, not a curated record. Lineage: Eukaryota; Metazoa; Chordata; Actinopteri; Anabantiformes; Osphronemidae.